Molecule: RNA transcript, 1480 nt
Organism: Dermacentor albipictus
Lineage: Eukaryota; Metazoa; Arthropoda; Arachnida; Ixodida; Ixodidae
Source: RefSeq, a predicted model, not a curated record
GCACUUUAGCACGCGUUCGCUGCCACGCGUAACGGGAGCCAGCGGCGAUGGCCAAAGGCGUCUGCCAACCGAGUCCACGCAGUUCCAUCUAUACACCACUUCACGUCGUUCACAUGCUGGCUGAACGGCCACGACCGGCCACGCUGUAUGGCCCUAUGGCUCCUUGCGGAACGCGUCUGCCGACAUAGGUUUGAUAAGACGAGACAUGCGCUGUCAUGGGAACGGCACGAUUCAGCUAUAUGCUCGGCUGUGCGGCCGCAUCUGUUGCCCUGUGGCUGAGACUAAGCAAGGUUCAGUGCCAAUAAGUUUUUGGAGCGGCGUACUCUGUUGGUUUGCUCGUUUGCGCGCCAUGCAGUCGGACUGAUCGGACUGUGUAGUUCCUGCUUAAUAUGCUAAAUGUGAAGGUCACGGUAACAUGCAUAUGGCCAGUGUGGAGCCCAGUACGAACGUCUGGCACCGAGGCUACGAAAAGCGACGCUUUGCGCCGUCCACGUUUUCGACCAACGCUGUUCCAUGGAAAAGAAUCAAGCUUCGCCCGCGCCUCCGACUACGUCGAAGUCGUUUUGCGCUGUCCAUAGCCACAAGGUGGUCAGUUCAUCCCGAACAUUGGGUUCUUGUGCUGCGAUAUUUACGCCGAAAGACCAGAAAUGACAGCGUUUUCUUUCCUAAAAGAAGAAAGGCAUUGAGGAUGGAUGAUGCGCUUCCAGGAAUACGUAGAGCGACCUCGACGUCGACCGUCACGGUGUACGGAGCAUCUCAUGGGAAGCUCCCAUGCACGUUGCCAAUUGACUGUCACGGGACGGUCUUGGAACGGGCCUGCGUCGCUGCUGCGAGAAGACCUUCACCGCGUGACCAAGACCUGUUUUGCCGGGGACGGCGACAUGGUCGGGGAUCGACGCCGCAAUAUGCGGAUGCGACCGAGAUACAGAGGCGCGACGGCGAGCCGCUCUUGGAGGCGUGUCAGGAGCGCGACGGUGUCGGCAAUGCGAUUCCACGACUCCACGGACGCACUUUCGCUUGGUUUACCUUGCAUUUUACAUUCCCACCGGAGCACGAGAUUAUACAACUUCGACCGCACACAUCUUCACAUCGGAAAGUCAUUCAAGCGAUAGCGUAGUUACCGCGCUUAACCGGCCCGGCCGAAGUCUUUUGGUUAACUUAUAUUCGUGCUUUCUUGUUUUUGUUGAACUCGCGCGUUCUCCUCGUCCAAUAUUUCUAACCACCUCAUCCCCACUGCUGGCAAAAUGUGGCGGUCACGAUUAUUACGUGUAAAUAACUUCAUGGCCUUUCUUCACGUCUCUUUUCCCUCUCACUCUUUUUUUCGUUGUGGAAAACAAGAUUUCCUUUUAAAAGACAUUAAGGCUUGAGUAUGUGUUCAGUAGGAUGAACAAAUUUGAAAUCAAUCAAUUAAUAGAUUAUUCGACGAACAAUGUAUCUAUCAGAGGCUCUGAGAGUAUAUAAAGAAAUGAACGAACAAGCA